AGUGAACGCUGGCGGUAGGCCUAACACAUGCAAGUCGAACGGCAGCACAGUAAGAGCUUGCUCUUACGGGUGGCGAGUGGCGGACGGGUGAGGAAUACAUCGGAAUCUACUUUUUCGUGGGGGAUAACGUAGGGAAACUUACGCUAAUACCGCAUACGCCCUACGGGUGAAAGCAGGGGAUCUUCGGACCUUGCGCGAUUGAAUGAGCCGAUGUCGGAUUAGCUAGUUGGCGGGGUAAAGGCCCACCAAGGGGACGAUCCGUAGCUGGUCUGAGAGGAUGAUCGGCCACACUGGAACUGGGACACGGUCCAGGCGCCUGAGGGAGGGAGCAGUGGGGAAUAUUGGACAAUGGGCGCAAGCCUGAUCCAGCCAUACCGCGUGGGUGAAGAAGGCCUUCGGGUUGUAAAGCCCUUUUGUUGGGAAAGAAAAGCAGCAGGUUAAUACCCCGCUGUUCUGACGGUACCCAAAGAAUAAGCACCGGCUAACUUCGUG
This 492-nucleotide ribosomal RNA is filed under the name uncultured bacterium. Its description in RNAcentral is "partial 16S ribosomal RNA". It matches the Rfam family "Bacterial small subunit ribosomal RNA", at positions 29 to 507 of the family's 1533-position model. The record is from RNAcentral.